GUGUCAGCAGCCGCGGUAAUACAGAGGGUGCGAGCGUUAAUCGGAAUUACUGGGCGUAAAGCGCGUGUAGGCGGCUUUGCAAGUCGGGUGUGAAAUCCCCAAGCUCAACUUGGGAACUGCAUUCGAGACUGCAUUGCUAGAGUAUGGGAGAGAGAAGUGGAAUUUCCGGUGUAGCGGUGAAAUGCGUAGAUAUCGGAAGGAACAUCAGUGGCGAAAGCGACUUCUUGGACCAAUACUGACGCUCAAGUGCGAAAGCGUGGGGAGCAAACAGGAUUAGAUACCCUAGUAGUCC
This 292-nucleotide ribosomal RNA is filed under the name uncultured bacterium. RNAcentral describes it as "partial 16S ribosomal RNA". It matches the Rfam family "Bacterial small subunit ribosomal RNA", at positions 505 to 796 of the family's 1533-position model. The record is from RNAcentral.